RNAcentral lists this non-coding RNA (28 nucleotides) under Mus musculus (house mouse). The record is from RNAcentral. Lineage: Eukaryota; Metazoa; Chordata; Mammalia; Rodentia; Muridae.
UCNGAAGCCUGCCUGCUCCAAGCCAAGU